GGCCUGGUGGCUCAGUUGGAAAGAGCGGUGCGAAAUAAUAGGUAUAAUGAAAUUGCUUCAUGCACAGGUGCACGUUUGAAUCCCGCCCAGGCUG
Molecule: non-coding RNA, 94 nt
Organism: Mycena vulgaris
Lineage: Eukaryota; Fungi; Basidiomycota; Agaricomycetes; Agaricales; Mycenaceae
Source: the annotation of a GenBank genome assembly